Molecule: ribosomal RNA, 158 nt
Filed under: uncultured bacterium
Lineage: Bacteria
Description: partial 16S ribosomal RNA
Rfam family: Bacterial small subunit ribosomal RNA
Source: RNAcentral
UGAGGAAUAUUGGUCAAUGGACGAGAGUCUGAACCAGCCAAGUAGCGUGAAGGAUGACUGCCCUAUGGGUUGUAAACUUCUUUUAUAUGGGAAAUAAAAUGUUCCACGUGUGGGAUUUUGUAUGUACCAUAUGAAUAAGGAUCGGCUAACUCCGUGCC